This 433-nucleotide ribosomal RNA is filed under the name uncultured bacterium. RNAcentral describes it as "partial 16S ribosomal RNA". It matches the Rfam family "Bacterial small subunit ribosomal RNA", at positions 29 to 507 of the family's 1533-position model. The record is from RNAcentral.
AACGAACGCUGGCGGCAUGCCUAACACAUGCAAGUCGAACGAGACCAUAGGGUCUAGUGGCGCACGGGGGCGUAACGUGUGGGAACCUGCACUUAGAUUCGGAAUAACUCUCUGAAAGGGGUGCUAAUACAGGGAAAUGUAUUCGGACAAAACAUAUAUCGCCCUUGGAUGAGCACGCGUUGGUUUAGCUGGUUGGUAGGGUAAAAGCCUAUCACGGCGUCGCUACAUAGCUGGGCUGAGAGGAUGAUAAGCCACUCUGAGACGAGGACACGGGGCGGACUCCUGCGCGAGGCAGCAGUGCGUGAUAUUGCCAUAUGGGGUAAAGCCUGAUCCAGCAAUGCCUCUAGAGUGAUUAAGUUGUUAGGGUUGUAAAGCACGUUUACCCGGGAUUAUAAUGACGGUACCGGAAGAAUAAGCACCGGCUAACUCCGUG